CCUACGGUGAGCUGCAGUGGGGAAUAUUGCGCAAUGGGCGAAAGCCUGACGCAGCGACGCCGCGUGAGGGAUGAAGGUCUUCGGAUCGUAAACCUCUGUCAGCAGGGAAGAACGGUCACUGUGCUAAUCAGCAGUGAAUUGACGGUACCUGCAAAGGAAGCACCGGCUAACUACGUGCCAGCAGCCGCGGUAAUACGGCGGGUGCGAGCGUUAAUCGGAAUUACUGGGCGUAAAGCGCUCGUAGGCGGUAUGUCAAGUCAAGGGGGAAAUCCCCGCCCUCAACGUGGGAACUGCCUUUGAAACUGGCAAACUGGAGGGGGUGAGAGGAAAGGGGAAUUGCAGGUGUAGG
RNAcentral lists this ribosomal RNA (349 nucleotides) under uncultured bacterium. RNAcentral's name for it is "partial 16S ribosomal RNA". It matches the Rfam family "Bacterial small subunit ribosomal RNA", at positions 338 to 679 of the family's 1533-position model. The record is from RNAcentral.